CCGCGCCGCCCCGAGCCCAGGUCGCCGCGCCGGCGCGCGGUAGUCGGUGCGCGAUGCCCGGUGCACGGUAGUCGGUGCGCGGGGUCCGGCGCGCGGUGGCCGGUGCGCGGAGCCGGGCGGAGCGGGGCUCGCGGAGGGAGGAGUUUUCCCAGAAGGGGACUGACGGGAAAGCACGGGCGAUCCCUAUUCCUGGCGGGGUGAGUCAACGGGAGAGGAAGGGAGCCGGGGGAACCGAGCGCGCGCAGGAGGGCGGAAGGGAGGGAAGUCGGAGGGGGGGGCAAGGCGGGCCCGGAGCGCAGGUCCAAGGCCGGAAGAAGAGAGCGCCAGGGGAGCGGCAGAGGGGCGCGACGCCGGGGCCACUCACCUGGGGGACGCGGCCGCACGGCGGAGCCGGGAGCUGCGGGCCCUCCCCGCCCCCGGCCUGGGGUUUGAAAGGAGGAAGCCUGGAAUACACUGUGAAAAUAGUGAAGGAGAAGACCUCAGCACCUGCCCUUCCAGAGCUUUCCAUUUAGCUGGGAAAACUCGGUCUGUGGAGGAGCAUCGCCAGAAAGUGGGGAGUCCGGGUCUUAAACACGCCAGGCCACACCGUGCGGCACGUGGGAUCUUAGUUCCCCCACCGGGGACCGAACCCAUGCCCCCUGCGGUGGAAGCACGGAGUUCUAACCACGGAACGGCUAGAGAAGUCCCAAUCCUGUUUUGUUUUUUUUUAAUUUUUAUUUUAUAUUAGAGUAUAGCUGAUUUACAAUGCUGUGUCCUGCUUUUGAAAAAUAAAUGGAAAAGAAUCUUACAGUGAGUAUCUCUGACAGGUUGAAGAUUAAGGGGCCUUCUUUCUCAUUUUUUAAAAAUUAAUUUUAAAAAAUUAAUUAAAUUUAUUUAUUUUUGACUGCGUUGGGUCUUCGUUGCUGCGCACAGGCUUUCUCUAG
Molecule: long non-coding RNA, 923 nt
Organism: Aethalodelphis obliquidens (Pacific white-sided dolphin)
Lineage: Eukaryota; Metazoa; Chordata; Mammalia; Artiodactyla; Delphinidae
Exons: 3
Source: RefSeq, a predicted model, not a curated record